UGCGGGGUGGAGCAGUUGGUAGCUCAUUGGGCUCAUAACCCAAAGGUCGUAGGUUCGAGUCCUGCCCCCGCUA
This 73-nucleotide transfer RNA is filed under the name Bacteroides sp. Its description in RNAcentral is "tRNA-Met". It matches the Rfam family "tRNA". From Rfam's summary of the family: Transfer RNA (tRNA) molecules are approximately 80 nucleotides in length. Their secondary structure includes four short double-helical elements and three loops (D, anti-codon, and T loops). The record is from RNAcentral. RNAcentral also lists the same sequence under 2 other names. Lineage: Bacteria; Pseudomonadati; Bacteroidota; Bacteroidia; Bacteroidales; Bacteroidaceae.